UAUCUCUGUAGAGUCUGCAUAUCAAUAAGCGGAGGAAAAGAAACUAACAAGGAUUCCCUUAGUAACGGCGAGUGAAGCGGGAAGAGCUCAAAUUUGAAAUCUUCAAGGUUUUACCUUGACGAAUUGUAGUUUAAAGAAGUGUUUUCUGUUGAAGUUUCGGUAAAAGUUCUUUGGAAUAGGACAUCAUAGAGGGUGAGAAUCCCGUAUUUGACCGUUAUUUUCAGCUGUGUGAUACACUUUCAAAGAGUCGGAUUGUUUGGGAAUGCAGUCCAAAAUGGGUGGUAAAUUUCAUCUAAAGCUAAAUAUUGGCGAGAGACCGAUAGCGAACAAGUACCGUGAGGGAAAGAUGAAAAGAACUUUGAAAAGAGAGUUAAACAGUACGUGAAAUUGUCAAAAGGGAAGCGUUUGACACCAGUGUUGUUUUUCCGAAAAUCAAUUACAAAUGGCAGUGAUUCUGUGUUGUAUUGACCUUAUCAGCUUUCUGCACUCUUUUCUAGUCUUUCUUAAUGCACUUUUCGUUUAACAAGUCAACAUCAAUUUCUUUUGUUGUAAAAGAGGUCAUUGGAAGGUGGCUUUCUUUUCGGAGAAAGUGUUUAUAGCCUUUGGCCUCUGCAAUCGGAGAGAUUGAGGUCUGCAGCGUAGAUCCUUCGGGGUUAGAUACAUUUGUGCUAAGUUAUAGCCUUUCAUAGACAACUUGUUGACUAUGAUCAGUCAUGUAGCUUACUCGCUUAUGCUAUUUUACCUACGCUUAGGAUGUUGAAGAUGUAGCACAUCAU
This 776-nucleotide ribosomal RNA is filed under the name uncultured Neocallimastigales. RNAcentral describes it as "partial large subunit ribosomal RNA". It matches the Rfam family "Eukaryotic large subunit ribosomal RNA", at positions 24 to 635 of the family's 3401-position model. Lineage: Eukaryota; Fungi; Neocallimastigomycota; Neocallimastigomycetes; Neocallimastigales. The record is from RNAcentral.